Molecule: long non-coding RNA, 365 nt
Filed under: Homo sapiens (human)
Lineage: Eukaryota; Metazoa; Chordata; Mammalia; Primates; Hominidae
Description: non-protein coding lnc-KDM4B-4:1
Source: RNAcentral
GGCGCCUUAUCAACCUGUCUGGGCUUCCCACCACAUUAAUAAAACUGGGGUGGAUGGUGGGACCAGUGAGUUUGUAGCCAUCUACACUGUCUUCAAAUGGCACACUCUUGUCGCUGGUCCUCAUGUGAGCUGUGGCUUCCUCUAGACACAGCCUUGCCCUGCACUCCCCCUCCCCUAGGAAGAUCUUGGAAUCUUAUUCACUGUGCACCUUGAGAAAGCCGUUCCUGAUGCCCUCCCACCGAUGUACCCACAACCACUCAUGCCCCACCUGGUAGAGCUCUUGGCACCAAGAAUUGAAAUUGCUGAAAUUGUCUUCCCUGAGUCUCACUCAGCAACAAAACCCAUGUAAGCAGGAAGUAUGUCUG